ACGAACCACGCGGGGUGUCCCGUCCGGUGACCUGCGUCGCCGGGCCGAGGGACUGAGACGGGCGGUACGGCCGCCCGGACCCGUCGAACCUGAUCUCGCUAGCACGAGCGGAGGAACGUGGGCAUGACGACGC
RNAcentral lists this non-coding RNA (133 nucleotides) under Cellulosimicrobium sp. CUA-896. RNAcentral describes it as "TPP riboswitch aptamer (THI element)". It matches the Rfam family "TPP riboswitch aptamer (THI element)". Rfam says of the family: Vitamin B(1) in its active form thiamin pyrophosphate (TPP) is an essential coenzyme that is synthesised by coupling of pyrimidine and thiazole moieties in bacteria. The previously detected thiamin-regulatory element, thi box was extended, resulting in a new, highly conserved RNA secondary structure, the THI element, which is widely distributed in eubacteria and also occurs in some archaea. Analysis of operon structures identified a large number of new candidate thiamin-regulated genes, mostly transporters, in various prokaryotic organisms. The record is from Rfam by way of RNAcentral. RNAcentral also lists the same sequence under 1 other name. Lineage: Bacteria; Bacillati; Actinomycetota; Actinomycetes; Micrococcales; Promicromonosporaceae.